RNAcentral lists this transfer RNA (64 nucleotides) under Dermacentor albipictus. Its description in RNAcentral is "tRNA-Ala". The record is from RNAcentral. Lineage: Eukaryota; Metazoa; Arthropoda; Arachnida; Ixodida; Ixodidae.
AGAAAAGUAUUUAAAAUAAAUAAAAUCUAAAUUGCAAUUAGAAAUUGAAGUAACUCCUUUUCUG